UACAGAGGUCUCAAGCGUUGUUCGGAUUCAUUGGGCGUAAAGGGCGCGUAGGCGGCGCGACAAGUCAGUGGUGAAAGCCCGAGGCUCAACUUCGGGUCGGCCACUGAUACUGUCGGGCUCGAGCACUGUAGAGGCAGGUGGAAUUCCGGGUGUAGCGGUGGAAUGCGUAGAGAUCCGGAAGAACACCGGUGGCGAAGGCGGCCUGCUGGGCAGUAGCUGACGCUGAGGCGCGACAGCGUGGGGAGCAAACAGG
This 253-nucleotide ribosomal RNA is filed under the name uncultured bacterium. Its description in RNAcentral is "partial 16S ribosomal RNA". It matches the Rfam family "Bacterial small subunit ribosomal RNA", at positions 524 to 776 of the family's 1533-position model. The record is from RNAcentral.